RNAcentral lists this transfer RNA (67 nucleotides) under Ocinara albicollis. RNAcentral's name for it is "tRNA-Gly". It matches the Rfam family "tRNA". Rfam says of the family: Transfer RNA (tRNA) molecules are approximately 80 nucleotides in length. Their secondary structure includes four short double-helical elements and three loops (D, anti-codon, and T loops). The record is from RNAcentral. Lineage: Eukaryota; Metazoa; Arthropoda; Insecta; Lepidoptera; Bombycidae.
AUUUAUAUAAUAUAAAUAGUAUAUUUGACUUCCAAUCAAAAAGUUUAAUUUUAAUUUAAUGUAAAUA